UUUCCCCUGCAGUGUUUGCGAAGGCCAUAUAUUCCUUGAACCAAUGUCAUCUUGGCAUUGGCUGCUGACCCCAGACGCCGCCGUUGUGAUCGCCCCUCGCGGGUGAACCUGAAGCGGCAGGAACGCAGCCUCCCUGAAUCCCGGUUCAGGAUGCCGGUCUGGACGGCACUCGCGGGGGAAUU
This 182-nucleotide non-coding RNA is filed under the name Rhodocyclaceae bacterium. Its description in RNAcentral is "6S RNA". It matches the Rfam family "6S / SsrS RNA". Rfam says of the family: E. coli 6S RNA was the first non coding RNA to be sequenced, but its function was unknown until recently. It consists of 184 nucleotides that fold into an extended hairpin structure with a large single-stranded internal bulge. Lineage: Bacteria; Pseudomonadati; Pseudomonadota; Betaproteobacteria; Rhodocyclales; Rhodocyclaceae. The record is from RNAcentral.